This 1629-nucleotide long non-coding RNA is filed under the name Zonotrichia albicollis (white-throated sparrow). Its description in RNAcentral is "lncRNA (ENSZALG00000016336.1)". The record is from RNAcentral. Lineage: Eukaryota; Metazoa; Chordata; Aves; Passeriformes; Passerellidae.
UACUGCUAGCUUUGCCUUCUUAUCUUUGUUGUUGUUGUUUUUUCCUUAGCUCUUGGGAUUGGCUAAUAGAAGAUCUCUGCUGUGAAGCCCAUCUUCAACAUGGCAGGGUCAUUGUUUCCCUCUGGCAAAGGAGAUUUUGUUUGCAACAGGUGAGGUUGAGUUGGUGCAAACUGCAAGCUCUGUGUAGUAGUAACUCCACCAGCUUGGAGGGUCUUUAUCAGAGAACAUCACUCAGUGAUUCAUACAAAAGAGGACAAGAAGCUGAUCUCUGGACAGGAAGCACAGAAAACUUCUGAGCUCGUGCCAGACCUCAGUGAAGUCUAAGGGAGAGCCCAAGAGUUCCAUCAUUGUUCUGUCAUUGUCCUCUCCUGUUAGCACAUGGAGCACAAUCAGACAGCAGUCCUACCAAGAGCCUCUAGGGGCUACUGCAGUUUAAUAAAUCACAAUAUAUAAAAUGCAAACCAGUUUUUAGUCUGAUAUGGGCUGUGUUAAUCUCUGGUGUGCUAUCUUGGACUUCAGAAGAGUUACAAGCAAUGGAAUAUUGCCCACUGAACCUUUGCUGACUGUUCUCACAUUGCCAGGAAGGAUAAAGGAUAAAGUUUUCUUUUGUGUGAGAGGGCCUGAACUUCCAACAUCUCCAAGAGCGCAGGAACCCGAGGAAGAGACCACAUGGCUGCACUGUGCCUGAAGAAAACCAGGAUUGAUAUCUUGGUUUGGCAUCCUGGUCUCGAGCCAACACCAUCUCUGUUCCCGCCUUGAGUUCCAGGCUGCCCCUUCCCUUUGCAGGGUACAGACCCAUUUCUCCUGGCAGGUCUUGUGGGGAGGCUGAGCCAACACUCAGGGCUCUGAUCUCUAUGAGGAAACAGCCCCCCAGAAGAAUCACAAGUCUGUAACAGUCCCACCCAAUGAAGAAGGCAGAACUUGGCCCAAUCAAGGCAAUUAAGCCACACAACUGUAUUUAAAGUAACUUUCGUAGUUAUUGACUUCCGGACGGAUACAUUGGUGUUUUCUGCCUAUCAGUUUAGAUAACAAGCUCAAACUACACAGUGCAUUUCAUUAGAUACUAGAGGCAAGCUUGAUUGCAUCUCAGCUAAUUAUUUGAGAUUUAGUGUUUUUCUAACACUGAGCUGGACAUUCAACCUUUUUUCCCUCCCCCUCCCCUCAAUUAGAAUAGAUGUAGUGAAAGAAGGUAAAAUAACCCCAGAAAUAAUUGGAUUUUGCAGCAGAAUGAGACAAGCUGUCCAACACAUUCAUACAGUCCACUCUGCUUUUACAAGCUAAAGCCUCAGAUUGCAAUUUAUGACUGCUUCUUGAGGCUGAAAUUAGAAAGAGUAUUAAUAUUAGAAGGAAAAUAUAUUAGCAGAAACACUUGCUGGAUCUGAAAGAUCUGCCUUUUGGCUGAGAUCAAUAACCAGAAAGCCCAAGGCUGAUCUUUAUCAGAAUAUGGAGUGAAUGCCUAGGAGGAUGGAUAAUAAGUGCUGUCUGGAGAUUUCAUUCUCUUCCCGCAACCAUGUGAAAAAUGUAGCCACUGGGUCCCACAAAAUUACAGGCUUCAUUGCGAUGAAAGCUCCAUUUUGCUUUUAUUUAACUAGCAAUAAAAAUUUUGGAGCACUAAAAGUUGAAAAUGCU